AUUAUGUCGUUAAUAAAGGUGCUGCGGGAGUUAUGGUUCCAGCGGCUUCCACAACAGGUGCAAGGAAUCCUAACAGCUCAAAGUGACCUCAAUCUGGACAAGGUAGCCGAACUAGCGGACAAAAUACUGGAGAAAUAACCCGGCCUCCUGGCAUCACACGUGAGGUGAAGCAUGACACCGUGCAUCAUAUCAAGACCACCGACGGGCCUCCUGUCGUGGCUAGGCCCCGUCGCCUGGCACCUGACAAGCUGCGUGCUGCACAGAAGGAGUUUGCGGAGAUGGUGCGCGUCGGAACAGCGCGUCCCUCCAAGAGCCCGUGGUCCUCGCCGCUGCACCUCGCGCCCAAGAAGGACAUGUUAUGGAGACCGUGUGGUGACUAUAGGGCACUUAAUGCCCGCACAGUGCCAGAUCGAUACCCAGUGCGUCAUAUAGGGGACUUCAGCCAUAACCUGGCAGGCUCCACUAUAUUUAACACUAUCGAUCUUGUCAAAGCAAGUACGAUCGGACUGUACCGUUUAAACUGCACCGAUUAUCGAAACGUGUGUGUGAUAAAAACUGUACUAAAAGUGCUACUCGUAACGAUUUUUUGAAACUGUACCGUCAAACGGAGUAGAAUGAUAAUUUGAAUAGAUAAAACGGAAUCGGACGAAACUGUGCCGAUAAUCGUAACGUGUGUGCGCUCACUUUUUGCGUGGAUCGCGCAUCGAGUGGUUACUGCGUACGUUCUUAAAAAUAGCUCACCGUGAGUGGCUCGAAGAGUUUAUAGUUAUGUAUCGCAAUGAACCUAGUUUAUGGAAAAUAAAAUCCAAGGAAUAUCACAACCGUGAUUUGAGAAAUUUGGCUUACAAUAAGCUGACUGACAAAUUGAAAGUAAUAGAUCCAAACGCUAAUAAAGACGCUGUUGUUAAAAAAAUCAUCAACUUUCGUUCUACCUACAAAAAAGAACGUAAGAAGGUCGCUGAUUCGAUGAAGUCUGGAGCAGGCGUUACGAAAAUUUACUCACCAAAACUGUGGUAUUACAAUUUGCUGCUGUUUUUGGAUGAUCAAGAAGAAGCAAGACCUUCGCGUUCUAAUAUUGACGACGACCUAACAGAAAAUGAGGGUCCUGCGGCGUCCUGAUAGGUUAAGAGUCAAUUCGCUGCCCAAUGAAGCACACGCCGAGUUGCCAAGGAAACAGCCGAGGCGCAACAGUAUUUAAGAUUAAAAUCUUUAGCUAGCAUGUUCAAGUUUUUGUUCGCUGUCCCGAUUUAGUAUAUGACAUCAUUGAUGCGGAACAUAUAAUGAUAGCAAUCACUUUUUUUGUUCUCUAUACAAAUUUGUAUGGAAGAAACGUUCCUCGCAUUAGAAAUAAACAUUAAGGCGGUGAUGUCAUUAUACUUGCAAGUUACACGUGGAACAAUAAAAUCUCCUUUAGAAGUCA
Cydia pomonella (codling moth) is the source of this 1420-nucleotide RNA transcript. RefSeq lists it as uncharacterized. NCBI's taxonomy places the organism in Eukaryota, Metazoa, Arthropoda, Insecta, Lepidoptera, Tortricidae. The transcript has 3 exons. The record is from RefSeq and is a predicted model, not a curated record.